Molecule: ribosomal RNA, 545 nt
Filed under: uncultured bacterium
Lineage: Bacteria
Description: bacterial SSU rRNA
Rfam family: Bacterial small subunit ribosomal RNA
Source: RNAcentral
AGAGUUUGAUCCUGGCUCAGAAUGAACGCUGGCGGCGUGCUUAACACAUGCAAGUCGCACGAGAACGCUUCUGCUUGCAGGGGCUAGUAAAGUGGCGCACGGGUGAGUAACGCGUGGGUAAUCUACCCCCGGAUCCGGGAUAACCCUCCGAAAGGGGUGCUAAUACCGGAUGAAGUCAUAGGGACUGCGGUUUUUAUGAUGAAAGGUGGCCUCUCCGAGGAAGCUACUGUUUGGGGAUGAGCCCGCGUACCAUUAGCUAGUUGGUGGGGUAACGGCCUACCAAGGCAGCGAUGGUUAGCUGGUCUGAGAGGAUGAUCAGCCACACUGGAACUGACACACGGUCCAGACUCCUACGGGAGGCAGCAGUGAGGAAUUUUGCGCAAUGGGGGGAACCCUGACGCAGCAACGCCGCGUGAGUGAAGAAGGCCUUCGGGUCGUAAAGCUCUGUCGAGUGGGAAGAACAUUUAUGUGGUGAAUAUCCAUGUGAAUUGACGGUACCACAGAAGGAAGCACCGGCUAACUCCGUGCCAGCAGCCGCGGUAAUA